AACGCACAUUGCGCCCUUUGGUAUUCCAAAGGGCAUGCCUGUUCGAGCGUCAUUUGUACCCUCAAGCUUUGCUUGGUGUUGGGCGUUUUUUGUCUUUGGCCACCAAAGACUCGCCUUAAAAGGAUUGGCAGCCGGCCUACUGGUUUCGCAGCGCAGCACAUUUUUGCGCUUGCAAUCAGCAAAAGAGGACGGCACUCCAUCAAGACUCCUUCUUACGUUUGACCUCGGAUCAGGUAGGGAUACCCGCUGAACUUAA
RNAcentral lists this unclassified non-coding RNA (256 nucleotides) under uncultured fungus. RNAcentral describes it as "partial contains 5.8S ribosomal RNA, internal transcribed spacer 2, and large subunit ribosomal RNA". The stretch from base 1 to 52 matches the Rfam family "5.8S ribosomal RNA", at positions 103 to 154 of the family's 154-position model. The record is from RNAcentral. Lineage: Eukaryota; Fungi.